GAGUGAAGCGGCAACAGCUCAAAUUUGAAAUCUGGCUCUUUCAGGGUCCGAGUUGUAAUUUGUAGAGGGUGCUUUGGUGUUGGCCGUGGUCUAAGUUCCUUGGAACAGGACGUCACAGAGGGUGAGAAUCCCGUACGUGGCCGCCGGUCUUCACCGUGUAAAGCCCCUUCGACGAGUCGAGUUGUUUGGGAAUGCAGCUCUAAAUGGGAGAUAAAUUUCUUCUAAAGCUAAAUAUUGGCCAGAGACCGAUAGCGCACAAGUAGAGUGAUCGAAAGAUGAAAAGCACUUUGGAAAGAGAGUCAAAAAGCACGUGAAAUUGUUGAAAGGGAAGCGCUUGCAGCCAGACGUGCCCGCAGUUGCUCACCUGGGCUCUCGCCCGGGGCAUUCUUCUGCGGGCAGGCCAGCAUCAGUUCGGGCGGUUGGAUAAAGGCCUCUAUCACGUAUCUUCCUUCGGGAUGACCUUAUAGGGGAGGCGCAACACGGCCAGCCUGAACUGAGGACCGCGCAUCAGCUAGGAUGCUGGCGUAAUGGCUGUAAGCGGCCCGUCUUGAAACACGGACCAAGGAGUCUAACAUCUAUGCGAGUGUUUGGGUGUCAAGCCCGGGCGCGCAAUGAAAGUGAACGGAGGUGGGAACCUUUCGGGGUGCACCAUCGACCGAUCCUGAAGUCUUCGGAUGGAUUUGAGUAAGAGCAUAGCUGUUGGGACCCGAAAGAUGGUGAACUAUGCCUGAAUAGGGUGAAGCCAGGGGAAACCCUGGUGGAGGCUCGCAGCGGUUCUGACGUGCAAAUCGAUCGUCAAAUUUGGGCAUAGGGCGAAAGA
This 820-nucleotide ribosomal RNA is filed under the name Phoma sp. CB007WA. RNAcentral describes it as "eukaryotic LSU rRNA". It matches the Rfam family "Eukaryotic large subunit ribosomal RNA", at positions 91 to 930 of the family's 3401-position model. The record is from RNAcentral. Lineage: Eukaryota; Fungi; Ascomycota; Dothideomycetes; Pleosporales; Didymellaceae.